This is a long non-coding RNA of Lathyrus oleraceus (garden pea), 2861 nucleotides long. RefSeq lists it as uncharacterized. The record is from RefSeq and is a predicted model, not a curated record. The transcript has 3 exons. NCBI's taxonomy places the organism in Eukaryota, Viridiplantae, Streptophyta, Magnoliopsida, Fabales, Fabaceae.
UAUUAUUUUAAUAUAUUUCUUUUUUUUUUGUUACCCUUGUUACACCUCUUUCCAUUAUGUAACCCCAUCUCAAAUAAUCAUACUAUUUAGUUUAUGUAAGUGAAUGUAAAAGGAAAAAAGUGUCUCUCCAUUAUUCUCCAAAUCUAUCUGUAUAUUCAGGUUGAAGAACUUCGGUUAUUCAGAAAAGGAAACAUUGAAGCUGAAAAUUUGAAGAAAGGUUUUUUGAAUGGAGCUAGAUCAAAUAUUUACAAUUUUUCAAGGAUCUCACAAUAGUGAAAGUCAUGUCAGUCCGAUUGAGGAUUUAGGUGAUAUAUCUGUUUCGGAUAAUGGUAGUUUGUCAUCAAAAGAAGACGUCAGAGACAAUAACAACGAUGCUGGUGGUUGCAUUUUUUACGAUGAAAUUGCAGUUAAUUGUGUGUCUGAUCUAGAGAAAAUAUAUUUCAAAGAAACUUGUUCUAAACAAAUAAUGCAAUACCAUUUUCCAUAUCACGAAGUUGCGUUUAUGUUUUACAAUUGGUAUGGAUGUCUCCAUAGAUUUGCUGGUAGGAAGAGUAAGAUUGUAAGGAAUGUCAAUGGUGAAAUAAUUCAACAAACAUUUCUCUGACAUAUAAAAGGUAAUAGAGAUGACAAAUACAACAAUUCUGCAGUUAGAAACCAAAAACAUAAACCAACUAGCAGAUGUGGUUGUUUGGCAAGAAUCCAAGUACACGUUGACUUCAACAUUAAACGUUGGUAUAUUGAAUUUUUUGAUGAUGUCCAUAACUAUACAUUUGUAGAUGACAAGUAUGAGUGGAUACUUCCAGCACACAGGAAGAUGAGUGAAUACGACAAAUACUAAAUGAAGACCAUGAGGAAAUUUGGCAUUCCAACCUCCCACAUUUAUGGUUUUUUUUCAAGCCAUGCAGGAUGAUAUGCAAAGCUUGGUUACUCUAUGAGAGACAUGCACACUGAACUAUUCAAACAAAGGGGUUCAAGGCAGUCAUAUGCCGAAGGGGCACCUGAAUUCCUGAAGAGAAUGUCAUAUAGGGAUGACAUCAUGUUCUGGAGACUUGCAGUCAAAGAAGAUGGAAUGCUUGAACAUAUGUUUUUAUGUGACAGUAUAAGACGCAUUGACUACUCUACUUUUGGGGAUGUCUUGGAUUUCGAUGCCACAUAUAGGAAAAUAAGAUAUAAUACCCCGCUAGUGAUAUUUUCAGGAGUCAAUCUUCACAAUCAGAGCAUAAUAUUUGCAAGUGCAAUAGUAUGUGAUGAAAUUGAAGAAACAUAUGUUUGUCUUUUUGAGACGUUUGUGGAAGUUAUGGGUGACAAGUAUCCUUUAUAUGUUAUAAAUGACAGUGAUUUAACCGUGAGAAAUGCGAUCAAAAAGGUUUUUCCAAAUGCUCACCGUCGUUUAUAUGCUUGGCAUUUGUUACGGAACGCCACUAGUAACAUUAAGAAUUCAAAAAUUGUAUCCAAGUUUAAGCAAUGCAUGUUGGGAGAUUUUUAUGUUGAUGAGUUUGAGUCAAAAUGGAAUAUAAUAAUUAAUGAGUUUUAACUACAGGAGAAUAGUUUGAUACACGAGUUAUAUGAAAAGCGGGGUAUAUGGGCUACUGCCCACAUACGAGGGAAGUUUUUUGCUGGAUUUUGGACCACCUCACUCUGAAUUUGGUAAAUAUAUAUUUGUUUUGUCUAAUUUUGUCGAUUUUUUGCAACAAUUAUUUUGGUGGGUGAAUUACAUAAGGUAUAAAGAAAUUGAAGCAAAUUUUGAGUCAUCCUAUGGCAAUACAAUUUUACAAACUCAACUCAAGUGUUUGGAGGAGUCUGCGGCGAAUUCUUACACCAGGUCGACUUUUAAGAUGUUUAGACCAGUUUUGGAUAGAGCAUGCCGGUGCAAGAUUGAGAAGGUAACAAAGGAAGGAUCAAUUUUUUCAUAUAUCGUCACGAAGUAUGUGAGGCCAAAUAUUGAAUGGGUCAUGGAACUUUAUGAAGAAAAUUUACAAUUUAAUUGCUCUUGCAAAAGAUUUCAAACUUUGGGAAUUAUAUGCAAACAUUUGAUAGUUGUUUUGAUAUACAUGAGCAUAGUCAACAUUCCUGAAUCGUUGCUAUUAAAGAGGUGGAAGAAAAGUGUGAAGGAUGAGGUAAAUGCGUUUAAUGAAAAUUUGGCAAGUAUGAGGGAUCCCACAUUUGCAACGACAUAUGUUACAUUUGUUGAGCAUUAUAAUAGAAUGGUUAACGCGGCUCUUGCGUGUGGUAGCCCGGAACACUUAGAACCCACAAUAGAAAUGGUUGAAAAACAGACGAAUGUUUUAUAAGCAGUUGGUGGAAGUGAAGUUGGUUUGAACUGUGACAUUGGUAUAUUAUGACAAACGAGUUUAGGUAAUCUGCCACGUAUUAGGAAGAGAAGUGGUGUGUGUGCGAGUAUAUCGCAACAAGGAAAAAUGACUGAAAAUUCAAAGAGAAAAAGUACUAGAAGGUGUGGAAAAUAUGGAAGAACAAGUCAUAAUUGUGCGUCAUGUAAGGUAGUUCGAGAGUCGUAAACCUAUGACAAGUCAUAUGGAUAUGCAAAUGUUGACAUCAAUGACGACAAUGAAGAGUUUAACGUUGUGAUGGUAUGUAUGGCAACUCGUUUUUAAUAAUUGACCCAUGUUGAUUUGUUCAUAUGGUAACAAAAUCUGUUAAAUAAAUGCAGACUACAAUGUGAUGCUGGUUUGAAUAAGAUGGUAACGUUGUUGCUGCUACUAUAUGGAAGUUUGUUGGUGAUGUUGUGUGGAUGUGGGUGUAAUUGAAAAUUAAGAAUGUUUUUUUGAUUUUUUAAUUUUAUUGAGGAUGAAUAUGAAUAUUAUGUGUGGAAUAUUUUGUACGCCGAUGAAUAUUUUGUACGA